This is a long non-coding RNA of Onychostoma macrolepis, 601 nucleotides long. RefSeq lists it as uncharacterized. The transcript has 4 exons. The record is from RefSeq and is a predicted model, not a curated record. NCBI's taxonomy places the organism in Eukaryota, Metazoa, Chordata, Actinopteri, Cypriniformes, Cyprinidae.
GGAUCACAGCCGGGCGGCUCGCGACGCCGUCACGGAAAAUAACAGGUAAGCAUUCACUUUUUUAUUCCUAUUUAAAGCACUUUUGAACGUUAUUUUGUGUUUUGUCAAUUUUAUCUGAAGAUUAACCAGCUCAGUUAUCAUUGUAAUGUUAGCUAGCAAAGAAGCAAGGACAACCACAUCAAAGUUAUCAACGGCAAGUGUUAAAUAUGCAGUGUUAUACACAACAGUUUGUCAGUGAUAAAUUAAGGUGUGUGUGUGUGUGUGUGUGUGUGUGUGUGUGUGUGUGUGUGUGUGUGUGUGUGUGGUUUCUCACAGCUGGACACAGACAAACGAGUCCCGCGAAUUGUAUUUUUAAACUGGAGAGACAGCUGACAGGAUGUCGUCAUCUGUAACCGUCACUCGCCACAGUUCUCAAGUAAGAGCAAAGGCAGCGAGGGGUGGUGUGAUGUCAUUUGCAACAAGACGGCUGAUACUAAUAUGAGCCUAAAAUAAAGGACAAUAAUGGCAUCAGCCAUUCAAGUUAUGAUCCUGGCAGAUCUACUACUAUCUGAAAAGUAGUCUCUGCAGAUUGUUUCAAGAUACACAAGAUGGAGCGUGGAGA